RNAcentral lists this ribosomal RNA (275 nucleotides) under uncultured prokaryote. RNAcentral describes it as "partial 16S ribosomal RNA". It matches the Rfam family "Bacterial small subunit ribosomal RNA", at positions 524 to 798 of the family's 1533-position model. The record is from RNAcentral.
UACGUAGGUGGCAAGCGUUGUCCGGAAUUACUGGGUGUAAAGGGCGUGUAGGCGGGAAGGCAAGUCAGAUGUGAAAUCCCAGGGCUUAACUCUGGAGCUGCAUCUGAAACUGUUUUUCUUGAGUACUGGAGAGGAAAGUGGAAUUCCUAGUGUAGCGGUGAAAUGCGUAGAGAUUAGGAGGAACACCAGUGGCGAAGGCGGCUUUCUGGACAGUAACUGACGCUGAGGCGCGAAAGCGUGGGGAGCAAACAGGAUUAGAUACCCGGGUAGUCCCU